Molecule: ribosomal RNA, 486 nt
Filed under: uncultured bacterium
Lineage: Bacteria
Description: bacterial SSU rRNA
Rfam family: Bacterial small subunit ribosomal RNA
Source: RNAcentral
GAUGAACGCUAGCGGCAGGCUUAAUACAUGCAAGUCGUGGGGCAGCAUGAGUAGCAAUACUUGAUGGCGACCGGCAAACGGGUGAGGAACACGUACACAACCUUCCUUCAAGCGGGGAAUAGCCCAGAGAAAUUUGGAUUAAUACCCCAUAAUAUAUUUGAUAAGGCAUCUUAUUAAUAUUAAAGCUUCGGCACUUGAUGAUGGGUGUGCGGCUGAUUAGAUAGUUGGCGGGGUAACGGCCCACCAAGUCUACGAUCAGUAGCUGAUGUGAGAGCAUGAUCAGCCACACGGGCACUGAGACACGGGCCCGACUCCUACGGGAGGCAGCAGUAAGGAAUAUUGGACAAUGGACGAAAGUCUGAUCCAGCCAUGCCGCGUGAAGGAUUAAGGUCCUCUGGAUUGUAAACUUCUUUUAUAUGGGACGAAAAAAGGGCAUUCUGUUCACUUGACGGUACCAUAUGAAUAAGCACCGGCUAACUCCGUGCC